AGGAGCAGUUACGCCCCUGAGCCACAACGAACUGAGCCUGUGCUGCAGAGUUGAUGAGCUGCAACUGCAGAAGAAGCCUGUGUGCCGCAAUAAAGACCCAGCACAGCCAUCAGUGAAUAAAUAUAAAUAAAUAAUAACCUUAGAAGUUAAGGAAAAAUACGGGCUCUGUCAUUCUUUGGGGCUUCUGUGACUCUUCCAGCAGGCUGAUUGUGGUGGGCAGAACUGUCGUCCUCCCCUGCCCCCACUCGGACCGUGAAGAUCCUCUAAUCCCCAGAACCUGUGGAUGUGUUACGUCACUUGGCCACAGUGAGUUCAGGUUGCGGAUACCAUGAAGGCUGCUGGUCAGCGGACUUUACAGUAGAGAGAAGAGAUGAGAUUACCUCGAUGGGCUCAAUCUCAUCACCUGGAGAUCCGAGAAGGUGCCAUGAGCCGCCUCGAGGAGCCAGGAACAGCCCUCAGGUACAGCCAGUGAGAAAACAGGGACCUCGCUACAACUUCGAGGAGCUACAUUCUGUUAGCAACCCAAAUGGACGGAAACCAGAUUCUCCCCUAAAACUUAGAGGCUUCAGAAAGGAACGCAGCAGCUGACCUCUGGAUUUCAGCCAUGCCUGCCAGACUUCUGACCUGCAGAGCUGUGAGGCAAUUUGCGCUGCUUCAGAUGAGAGACCUACAGAUACAGAGACUGGAAUCCUGGAACACACUGGGGCGUGAGGAUCUCUGUUUGGCGACCCCACUAAGAUCCUUUGUGUGGAACUGACUGAAUGUCUCUGAAACCUCUAGAAACCCUGGGCUUAUGGAUGCUAAGGAAAUGUCAUUCAACUCGUGCAAAAGCGAAGGACAAAAGCGAAAUAAGAGAAAGGGGGUGCUGCUCACAGUUUAAAGGCUCUUAUUUAUGGUUUCCCACAAGAUGGGGCCUGAGGACAGAAAAUCAGAAGUAGGCUGUUGGGCCAAGUCUCAUGUUCAGAACCACUUCUGUCCCAUCCCAAGGCCUUCCUGCUCCAGGGCCUUUACAAAUAUGCUUCUGGAUAUUGUACCUGUCUCUACAGUCUCCCAGGUUUACCAGAUUAUUCCCUUUAAAAAAUUCUUUUUUUUUUUUUUUUAUGUUUUGGCCAGGCCACACAGCAUACUCUUUCUUAGUUCCUUGACCAGGGAUUGAACCUGAGUCCUGUGCAGUUCAAGUACAGAGUCUUAACCACUAGACUGCCAGGGAAGUCCCUGACUAAUACAAUUUUUUUUUUUUAAGAUGCAGCUCACUUUGAAAAUAUCAAAAGUUUGAAAUUAUCUUCAGAUGAAGUUUAAAGAAUGUGUGCUCUGCUAGGUUGCUUGAGUCCGAUCCGACUCUGUGUGAUCCCAUGGACUGUAGCUCUCCAGGCUCCUCUGUCCAUGGGAUUCUCCAGGCAUGAAUACCGGAGUGGGUUUCUGUUCUCUUCUCCAGGGGCUCUUCCCAACCCAGGGAUCCAACCAGCAUCUCUUC
Molecule: long non-coding RNA, 1474 nt
Organism: Bos taurus (domestic cattle)
Lineage: Eukaryota; Metazoa; Chordata; Mammalia; Artiodactyla; Bovidae
Source: Ensembl